CCUACGGGAGGCAGCAGUGAGGAAUAUUGCACAAUGGGGGCAACCCUGAUGCAGCAACGCCGCGUGGGUGAAGGAGCGUUUCGGCGCGUAAAGCCCUGUCAGCGGGGAAGAAGAAAGACGGUACCCGACCAUGACGCCUCGGCUAACUACGUGCCAGCAGCCGCGGUAAUACGUAGGGGGCGAGCGUUAUCCGGAAUUACUGGGGGUAAAGGGAGCGUAGUCGGCGAGGUAAGCCUGAGGUGGAAGCCCGCGGCCCAACCGCGGAACUGCUUUGGGAACUGUCGUGCUUGAGUAUGGGAGGGGUGAGCGGAAUUCCUGGUGUAGCGGUGAAAUGCGUAGAUAUCAGGAGGAACACCGGUGGCGAAGGCGGCUUACUGGACCAUAACUGACGUUGAGGCUCGAAAGCGUGGGGAGCGAACAGGAUUAGAUACCCGGGUAGUC
This 441-nucleotide ribosomal RNA is filed under the name uncultured bacterium. RNAcentral describes it as "partial 16S ribosomal RNA". It matches the Rfam family "Bacterial small subunit ribosomal RNA", at positions 338 to 795 of the family's 1533-position model. The record is from RNAcentral.